RNAcentral lists this long non-coding RNA (662 nucleotides) under Lathyrus oleraceus (garden pea). Its description in RNAcentral is "Pisum sativum (pea) long non-coding RNA (PSAT_LNC028842)". The record is from RNAcentral. Lineage: Eukaryota; Viridiplantae; Streptophyta; Magnoliopsida; Fabales; Fabaceae.
UUUGUUAGCAGGUUCUGUUAUGGAGAAUGGCUGCUCAGCUCUUGGAAGGUGGUUAAGGGAGAGUUUUUUUUGAAGAAACAGUUAUGAGUUUGUUAGUUGGUUAGCAAUUCGGCUGGGUCGGUUAGGUUGAGAAGUUGGAAUGGAGAGAUUCGGUUAGAGAUUUUCGAAGGUUCGUUUCUUUGGAAGUGUUAUAAUGAGAAGCUCGUUUUCUGCAGGUUUUCUGUUUGGAUGGAUUGGCUUGUGAAGUUUUUGGAGGUUUUCCGUUAGAAGUUGUGGGUCUAUCAGCAGGUUUUUGUUAGGUGUUUCUUCUUUUUGAUUUUAGCAGUUGGUGUUUGGAAGUGACUUUGCCGGUUUUGUUUUCUUAUGCAGGUUCUUUCAAUCUGUUUUUUCAUGUUCUCCCUGUUACCAUGUGAAGGGGGAUUUUAUUCUGCUGGAGAUUCGAAGAAGUGAUUGGAAAGGGUCAUAUUUUGGUCAUUAUGUGGUGUAUUUUUGUGAUGAUAUCCAUUUUGUGUCGGUUGGUUAUAAUUUUAGAGGGGCUUUUUAUUGUAAUUUUGUAGUUAUUGUAAUUUGAAGUUGGACUAGGGAUUUAUGGUUCUUUGCAUUGGAAUUGGUUUGUCGAAAAUGGACUCGGAUUUUGAGUUUGUUAUAGCUUGAAUUUGAUA